UACAUGAGGUGAGCAUGAAGUGGCCGAUGU
Molecule: non-coding RNA, 30 nt
Filed under: Homo sapiens (human)
Lineage: Eukaryota; Metazoa; Chordata; Mammalia; Primates; Hominidae
Source: RNAcentral